AUCCAGCUGACGAGUCCCAAAUAGAACGAAACGCGCGUCAAACUCAAU
Molecule: non-coding RNA, 48 nt
Organism: Schistosoma mansoni
Lineage: Eukaryota; Metazoa; Platyhelminthes; Trematoda; Strigeidida; Schistosomatidae
Source: Rfam